AUGGACUUCGCUCGCCGGAAAGCGGCGGCGCUGGCCGCGCUCUCCUCGCCGGCGCCGGACAAGUCACCGAAAGGCGGCGUAGACGCCCCCAUCGCCCCGCUCCUCGACGCGCUGAACUCCAACGCGGAUCUCUUCACCACGUCCUCCUGCUCCGGCCGCAUCUCAGUUCUCGCGCAGCCCUCGCCGCAGUCCCAAGCGGCCGACCCCAAGCCCAAGAAGAAGGCCCGGGGCGGCGGGUGGUUGUACAUCUCGCACGACCCCGCUGACCCGGACGCAGUUGUAGAGCUCCUGUUCGGUGGGACUGGAUGCGGAGAGAGGGGUGGAGGGGAUGAGCUCGUGUUCAGGUUCGAGCCGAUGAUCGUGGCGGUGGAGUGCAGGGAUGCUGCGGCAGCCGCGGCGCUCGUGGCCGCUGCAAUCGGGGCGGGGUUCCGGGAGUCAGGUAUCACAAGCUUGCAAAGACGGGCAAUGGUAGCAAUAAGAUGUUCAAUUCGCAUGGAGGUGCCUCUUGGUCUGACAAAUGAACUUGUUGUUUCUCCCGAGUACAUCCGGUACCUUGUUAGAAUUGCCAACUGUAAGAUGGAGGCAAACAAGAAACGAAUGGAUGGCUUUCUAGACGUUUUGCAGUCAAAGGGUCUGCCAGGUAUAUCUGGGUUGCAAGUUCGUACCAAAAAAGACGAUCAUUCUUUGGGCUCUGAAGUUCAGGCGUCACUCAAUCAGAGUGUACAAACACAUGAUGAACUGUUAGUUACGGAAAAGAGACGUGACAGCUAUAAUUGUGACGCUGGUACCAAAGGUGAUUGUGGAAUUGGUGAGAAUUCAAUAGAAGGGUCAUAUUAUGAAAAUCGAGAUGCUGUACGCAACAACAUUGCGAAGCAUGGUUUUGGUAAUGCUGAACGAUUAAUGCAUGAGGGAAAACUAUCAGCAUCAUCGGGAAUUAGAAGUUCCCAUCUUUCUAUUACUGAGUUGAAGAUCAGUGGUGAACCAGUUGAGAAGCUCUUCUUAUGGGGCCAAUCUGCUUGUGCGUUUACUAUUGGAGGAAAGCAGCAGGUCCUAACUUUCGGUGGUUUUGGAGGACCAGGAAGACAUUCAAGAAGAAAUUAUUCCCUUCUGCUUGAUCGCACAUCUGGGUUGUUGAAGGAAAUAAACGUUAAAGAUUCACCUUCACCACGGAUGGGUCAUACAACUACUGCAGUAGGCAACCAUAUUUAUGCUGUUGGAGGUAGGGCUGGUCCUUCAGAAAUUCUUGGUGAUGUCUGGGUUUUGCAAAGCACAGAAAAUAGAUGGUCAAGAGUAGAGUGCAGUGGGGAUAUUUUCCAUCCUAGGCACCGACAUGCUGCUGCAGCAGCAGCUUUGAAAAUAUAUGUGUUUGGUGGACUCAGUAAUGAAGGCAUAUAUUCUUGUUUGAAUAUAUUGGACACAGAAAGCAUGCGAUGGAAUGUGAUUUCUGCUGCUGGUGAAUGGCCAUGUGCUCGACAUUCACAUUCUCUGGUGUCUUAUGGGUCAACACUGUUCAUGUUUGGGGGUCAUGAUGGUCAGCGGGCACUGAAUGAUUUUUAUAGUUUUGAUACAACAACACUUAGUUGGAACAAAGAAAUCACUAGCGGAAGAACUCCCUCUCCUAGAUUUUCACAUUGCAUGUUCAUCUAUAAACACUAUAUUGGGAUACUUGGUGGUUGCCCAAUCAGAGAAAACAACCAAGAAAUAGCAUUGCUACACUUAAAGCAUAGAGUCUGGUUCCAUGUCUCCAUUCCAGCUCUAGGUCAAUGCCUUUGUGUGCGUAGCUCAUCUGUUGUCACCGAUGAUGAUCUUGUUGUUAUUGGCGGUGGUGCAUCUUGCUAUGCAUUUGGAACAAAAUUUUGUCAACCAGUAAAAAUUGAUCUUCAUUUGCUGGAGUCAGUAUUUGAACUUGCUUACAAGAAAAACGACAAUGCCGUACAGAGUUGGGAUGCAACAUAUACAAUGGAUUUAAAAGAACGUGAGCAAAAUGGCACCUUUAUUAGUCAUAAGGUGAAGUCAAUGGUUGAUGCUGCUACUAAUGGUAUUGCUGGUUCAGAUCCUCUGGUUUUCCAAUUGGAAAAGAAAUAUGCCAAAUUAGCGAAGGAUAUUCUGAAAAAGUUUGGAUGGUUGGACCUUGCUAGAAAAGUUCGAGUGAGCCAGGAUAAUGUCCUUGUUCUUUUUCCUGUUAGUAGAAACUUCCACACCUUAGUCACUGAUCAACAUUCCAAGUUGCUAGAUGAUGAUUCAUGUAUCUCUAAAGGACUAUUGGGAUGUCCGGAAAAGAAGCUUAUCGGUGAUAGCAUUGCUCUUCAUGAAGCAUUGGAAAUACUAUCAUCGUUCCAUGGUUCUUUUUUGAAAGAUGAACUAGCUCUCAGCCGAAAAGCUUAUAAAUCUCCUCAAAUCAUCAUGAGAGAACUUAUAUCUUCUCUACUGGAAAGAAAAGGAAUGCCCUCUUGGUUGUUAGAGCAGCUGCCAACUAGGUGGGAAACCUUAGGUGAUAUCACCGUGCUUCCAAAGACUUGUUUUAAGGACCUGCUGUGGGAAUCAGUUAGAGAAGAACUUUGGCAACUAGUUGCCAAGUCGCUUGGGGCGCAACGUCUUGCACGCCAAGGGAAAAUCAUGCCAAAUGGCACAAGAGAUAGUACAUUAGAACUUCUUGUGGGUGAUAAUGGGUGGGUAACCCAUUAUGAAAAUGGCAUCUCUUAUUCACUCGAUGCAACAAAAUGCAUGUUUUCUUCUGGUAAUCGCUCUGAGAAGCUUCGAAUGGGACAGCUUGAUUGUAGAGAUGAAGUGGUUGUGGACUUGUUUUCCGGAAUUGGAUACUUUGUGCUCCCAUUUCUUGUGAAGGCUAAUGCGAAGUUGGUUUAUGCAUGUGAAUGGAAUCCACAUGCUCUGGAGGCUCUUCAGCGGAAUGUAAUGGACAACCAUGUAGCAGAUCGAUGCGUUAUACUUGAAGGAGAUAACCGUUUGACAGCACCAAAAGGGGUUGCUGAUCGUGUUUGUCUUGGGCUGAUACCCUCCAGUGAAUGUAGCUGGGCUACUGCUGUUAGGGCUUUGAGGGUUGGCGGAGGCGUAUUACAUAUACAUGGGAACGUCAACGACUCAGAUGAGGCGCGCUGGUUGGACAAUGUUGUUGAAUCCAUCAGUAGCAUUGCGACAGCUCGUGGACUGUCUUGGAAAGUCUCUCUGGAGCAUGUCGAACGAGUCAAAUGGUAUGGGCCGCACAUUCGACAUGUCGUAGCUGAUGUCAGAUGCGGGUCAAACUGA
This 3264-nucleotide ribosomal RNA is filed under the name Triticum aestivum (bread wheat). RNAcentral's name for it is "partial small subunit ribosomal RNA". Lineage: Eukaryota; Viridiplantae; Streptophyta; Magnoliopsida; Poales; Poaceae. The record is from RNAcentral.